Molecule: ribosomal RNA, 332 nt
Filed under: uncultured bacterium
Lineage: Bacteria
Description: bacterial SSU rRNA
Rfam family: Bacterial small subunit ribosomal RNA
Source: RNAcentral
AGUGUAGGCGGGAUCGUAAGUUAGGAGUUUAAUGCAUGGGCUUAACCCAUGACCUGCUUUUAAUACUGCGGUUCUUGAGUAUGGGAGAGGGCGAUGGAAUUCCAGGUGUAGCGGUGGAAUGCGUAGAUAUCUGGAAGAACACCAGUAGCGAAGGCGGUCGCCUGGCCCAAUACUGACGCUGAUGCUCGAAAGCUAGGGGAGCAAACAGGAUUAGAUACCCUGGUAGUCCUAGCCGUAAACGAUGGACACUAGUUGCUGGAGGAGUCAAUCCUUUCAGUGACGAAGCUAACGCAUUAAGUGUCCCGCCUGGGGAGUACGCUCGCAAGGGUGAA